Oryza rufipogon (brownbeard rice) is the source of this 207-nucleotide microRNA precursor. It matches the Rfam family "MIR812 microRNA precursor family". NCBI's taxonomy places the organism in Eukaryota, Viridiplantae, Streptophyta, Magnoliopsida, Poales, Poaceae. The record is from Rfam.
AAAUAAUGCAGUUUUGCAUUAUUCAUGUUCAACGUUUGACCGUUCGUCUUAUUUAAAUUUUUUUUGUGAUUAGUAUUUUUAUUGUUAUUAGAUGAUAAAACAUAAAUAGUACUUUAUGGGUGACUAUUUUAUUAGUUUUUUCAUAAAUUUUUCAAAUAAGACGAACGGUCAAACGUUGGACACAGAUCCCCACAAACUACACUUAUU